Molecule: long non-coding RNA, 9457 nt
Filed under: Panicum hallii
Lineage: Eukaryota; Viridiplantae; Streptophyta; Magnoliopsida; Poales; Poaceae
Description: long non-coding RNA (PHAL_LNC000810)
Rfam family: Group I catalytic intron (bases 6363-6882)
Source: RNAcentral
AAUAUCUUUAAGUCCAUGACCAAUACCCCAGUUAGUCCUAUACAUAUGACCAGCGAUCAGGAAAAGAAUAGCAAUAGCUAAAUGAUGGUGUGCAAUAUCGCUCAACCAUAGACCACCGGUUAUUGGAUCUAGUUCCUCCGCGAAAAGUAAGAAAUUCUGGCAUAUUUGGACCAAUUCAAGGUGAAAAAGGGGGUUGCUCCUUCGGGCAAAACUAGGAUAAAGUUGAGCCAAAAGAUCGCGAUUCAAGAAUAAAUUCAUGAGGAAGUGGUAUCUCUUUAGGAUCAACCCCAGCGUCGAGAAAUUGGUUAAUCGGUAAAGAUACAUGGAUUUGGUGUCCCGCCAAGAAAGAGACCCAAGUCCUAAUAACCCGCUAAGUGGUGAUUCAACAUGGAUUCUACAUCUUGGAACCAAGCCAAUUUGGGAGCAGCUUUGGUGAUAAUGGAACCAACCAGCAAAAAGCAUUAACGAUGCAAAAUUCAAUGCACCGAUUGCGGUACAUAAGAGUUGUAAUUCACUAGUUAUUCCGGAUGCUCGCCAAAUCUGAAAAAACCCAGAGGUUAUUUGGAUUCCUCGGAAACCCCCGCCUACAUCACCAUUCAAAAUUUCUUGCCCUACUAUUGGCCAAACUACCUGAGCACUGGGUCCAAUGUGAGUAGGAUCGCUUAGCCAUGCUUCAUAAUUGGAAAAACGGGCACCGUGGAAGUACAUGCCACUCAACCAAGAAAGAUAAUGGAGAGUUGACCGAAAUGAGCACUAAAGACUUUUCGGGAGAUCUCCUCCAAAUCACCGGUAUGACUAUCGAAGAUCGUGAGCAUCAGCAUGUAGGUUCCAGAUCCAAGUGGUAGUAUCGGGACCCUUAGCUAUUGUUCUUGAGAAAUGCCCGGGUCUGGCCCAUUCCUCAAAAGAUGUUUUUACAGGAUCCCUAUCCACAACAAUUUUAACUUCUGGUUCCGGCGAACGAAUAAUCAUUAAGUCCUCUCUUUCCGGACAGACAUACAAAGAGACCCGCCAACUGUCUUUUUAUUGAAUCUUUGAAAGAUAGAUAUUAUGAUUAGUCCUUUUCUUUACUAUCUACCGUCCUUCUAUUUUUUUUUAGUUAUUCACUGGAGCAAUUAUAUAUUGAAGUCAAUCCGAGGCAAGUGUUCGGAUCUAUUAUGACAUAAGGAUUAGGUGCCUAACGGACAUUGGUUCUUCUGGAAAAUUAUUUCCCGACGUAACAAAAAAAUAUUUUUCUUUACGUUUUAAUUUAAGAAGCUAGUGUAUUUUUUUGAGGGUAUAAGCCCCUAUUUACAUCUACUUCCUUGAGUGAGCAUAAUAUAGAUUUUUUUAUGCGAUUCCAAAUUCCAAGAUAACUCAUUAGAAUUAUUAAUAAGACCGUCCUUAUAUAUUAGGUAGGAAUAUUAAAUUGCCGCCUUUUAUGUGCUUUAUUACUUUCUGUUCCAGAGCCUAUCCCUAUUAUUUAUCCUUAUGAAAUAUGAUAUAAAUCGAAGGCAGAAGAAAGGGAUAUAAUGAAAUUCCUUGAUUUGAUCUUCUUACCUAAAUUAUUUGAUUAAUGGAUCAAACAACCAAACCACCCAUUUUAUGGAAAUGGAGAGUGGUCUUAUUCAAAUUCAAAGCGCUUCGUAAUCUUCAACCAGUUCUGUGCUUCAAUAUAAUUUCCCGGAGUAAGCGCUAUAGCUUGUUUCCAAUACUCAGCAGCUUGAUCAAACCAAGCUUCCGCAAUUUCCGAAUCGCCCUGUAAAAUGGCCUGUUCUCCUCGGUCGGAAUAGGCAGUUCCUUCCCCUAGAACCGUACUUGAGAGUUUCCUACCUCAUACGGCUCAGAAAUUGCUAUCUUAAUUUCCCCUAUAUUAACUGAAUUCGAUUUCUCAAAAAUCAAUCCAAUUUCUUCUUGGGUUAAGCAGAAGAAGUUAAUUACCUAAGUUUCAAACCCUAAUUUUGAUCAAUAAUCAGUUUGAUCUUUUCUCCCACCUUCAGAAGAAUGAAGCAUAGAUAGACCUAUAUCCUUCGUUCCAAUUUUCUGAAAGGUAACUAUCUCGGUUUCGUUUCUUUCAUAUAUGAAAUUUCUAUAGAAUCCUCGAAAAAGACUUUUUCCCAUAAAAAAGAAAAAAGAACUUACUAUCUUUGGGAUCUGAUACUACACCGCUGCUUAAUCCCUUAGUGGAUCGGCUUUAUUACAUAAGCGGAUUCCUAAAUUUUGUCCCAUAUCGUGGUAUAAUGAAGCAGUUUUUUUUUAGUUGUAUCGACCCAGUUGCUCACUAAUUGAUCUUUACGGUGUUUUCUCUAUCAAUUUCAGCUUUAUCCAUAGAGUAGUAUAGGCUCUACUUUCUUCCUAUUUUGAUUCUCGUGAAGUGUCCUUCCUUCCUACAGCUGAUAGGGUAAAAUCGUUGUUUUGACGAUCCCUAUGUAGAAAGCCCUUUUUUUCUAGUAUUUACUAGAAAAUUUCCUCCUUUCUUUUUUUUUCUUCUUUCUAUAGUGGAGAUAGUCGCACGUAAUGACAGAUCACGGCCAUAUUAUUAAAAGCUUGCGGUAAGAAGGGGUUUCGUUCUAGCGCCCGGAAAUAAUAUUCCAAAGCCUUUGUAUGCUCUCCAUUGCUUGUGUGUAUAAGGCCUAUGUUAUAUAGUAUAUAACUUCGAUCAUAGGGAUCAAUUUCUAGUCGCGUAGCUUCAUAAUAAUUCUGCAAAGCUUCCGGCAUAAUUUCCUUCGGAUUGAGCCAACAUCCGUUACGGUCGUUCAUUCUAUUCAAUUCAAAAAAUCUCCGUUCCAAAACCGUACAUGAGGUUUCAUCUCAUACGGCUUCUCCCUUCUGUACAUAGUACUAAGCGAAAAAUCUAUAGAAUAAAAAUAGAAUUAGUCCCAUCUCAUUAUGGACCGAAGGGGGGCUGGUAUUUUUCCAAGAAAUCUCUAGCCAACCUUCCCCCAAGAGGUUUUUCUUAACACCAAUGAAUUCUAUUAAUGCUAGAGGAAAGCUCCAAGAAUUUCUUUGUUCUCAACGCCUCCUAUUUAGAGGAAUUAGCCACUUCAACGACCUUUGAUGGUUAUAAGGGUAUCCAAAGUACAAACCUGAUGGUUGUUUGCUAUCCUAACCAUUCUUCCCAACCCUGAUACCAAUCAGGAAAGGGCUAAUUUCUAACAAAGUUUUUCUCUUGUUGAUUCCUAUUUCGAGGUGUAGUGCUUUUCUCCCCUAUGCUGCCUAUUGGUACUAGUAGAGUCAGAUUGGCCUGUAAUACAGAACCUAUCCUGUAGGUGUAACCUUCGCUCAAUACUCCAAUCUACAAUUGAAGCAUCUGAGGCCACAUCAAUCGAGGAUACACGACGGAAGGAAUGUUAGUUCACCUCACCUUCCCCAAGCGUGGGUUUCCUUUACAAAUUUUCUUCUCUCUAUGCGAACCCCCUCUCUUCUCGUAAGAAUGAGAUGUAGGUAGGGCUAAAAAAAAAAAAAAAGAAAAAAAAAAGAGUCAAAUCGCACCAUCUCUAUAAUAAGUAAAUGCCCUUUUUUCCCCGGAGGUUGUCGGAAUUAUUUGCAAUAAAAUAUUGGCUACAAUCGAGGAGGUCUUAUCAAUGAAAUUUCCAUUUAUACGGGAUCUAGGCAUAAUUCCCAACCCAUUCUAUAUAGAAUUCUUUCAUUCUAUCACAAAAUAACAUAAAAACAAAACAUUCGAUCUUAUAAAUCGAGAUAUGCUCUAAAUGGAUAAGAAGGUAUGGGUUUUCCGCUCAGCUCAAAUUGUCUUCUUUCCUUCUGUUUGGACAAGAAGAGAUAUGAAAUAUUUGACUAAGACUAGAUUUCAUUCCACUUUCCUAUUUCUCAACAACAACUUCUCUCAUCAGCUAUUUUGCGUUUUCAAAGUCAUUAAUUGCCCCAUACCCUUUUUUAUAUUUAGAUUGUAUGGCGUAACGUACCUUAUGCAAAUAGAAUUCUAGGGUUCCUUUAUUUUCUUAUGGAAUAAGAAGAAUUCUUCCAUUCUCUUUUUAUUUUGUUUUCCCCAAAGAAAAACUUUUCGAGGGAGCGGAAUUCCUAGUAAAAAAAAAAUACUGGAUCCUUCCACUUAGAUGAAAAGGAAUUUUUCCCAUAGAGCCGUGGAAUCCCCGAGCCGUUGUGGCUGUACUGCAGGAAUACGAAAACUCGCUAUUCACUCAGUUAUUUUCCAUAAUAAGAUUAUGGAGGAGAGAUGGCCGAGCGGUUCAAGGCGUAGCAUUGGAACUGCUAUGUAGACUUUGUUUACCGAGGGUUCGAAUCCCUCUCUUCCGUUUCUCUUAAUUCAUCAAUGUUAGCAAUCACAAUGUAUCAAAUUAAAUAACAAUUUAUUCCAGCAAUAAUACCUUUAUUUAAUAGAAAUUCUCUAUAGCAAAUUACUGUGGUAUGUAAAUACACAUCGAGGAAAUAACAAAAAAGAAAAAAGGAUCCUAGGGUUAAUCUAUUUCUGCUAGUGAACAGGAAAAUACGAAUUAAGAGCCUUAGGUCAAUUUAGUUCGGGGAAAGGGGAAGGGGAAAAAAAUUCUAUGAACCUUUCCUUUUUUCGUUAAGUUCAAGUCUGGCGAGAGUAAUAUUCUACAACUAACAACUCAUUUACUUUGAGACCGACCCACUUCCUAUCUAGAAUUUUUUUUACUAGUCCUUUAUAUUGCAAUGUGUCAACCGUCAAAUGCUUUGGCAAUUUGCCCGGAUCGGAUGAAGCAAUAGAAUUUUGAACCAGACGUUUUGAUCGUUGGUUAUCCUUCGUAGUAAUAAUAUCUCGGGGUUUGCAACGAAAACUUGGUAAUAUCAACUAUACGACCAUUAACUAAAAUAUGUCUAUGGUUAACUAAUUGCCGGGCCCCAGGAAUGGUUGAAGCCAUACCCAAUCGAAAAAGUAUAUUAUCCAAACGCAUUUCAAGUAAUUGUAGUAAAACCUGACCUGUGGAUCUUUUUGCUUUUCCAGCGAUAUGUACAUAUCUAAGUAAUUGGCCUUCUGUCAGACCAUAAUGAAAACGCAAUUUCUGUUUUUCUUGAAGACGAAUACAUAUUGCUCUUUUUCCCAGAAUGGAAUUUCUUUUUCUGAUUACUUCCGGAUUUAGGCGUUUUCUAGUGAGUCCUGGUAAAGCUCCCAGACGGCGUAUUUUUUUUAAACGAGGCCCUCGAUAACGGGACAUGAAGACUCCUUUUUUUUAUUGAAAUUUCAUUUUACACAAUAAAUUUCAUUCUAUUUACAUUACAAAAUACAUCGAAAUUCAAACUGAAUUAAACUAAAGGAUAAGCAGAGUAAAAUCUACUAAAAGUACCACAAAAAAUGAAGUACCACAAAAAAUGGAAUUCAUCAACAUCCGGAUUUUUGUAUAUAUAUUAUUUAUUUUUAUGCUUUGUAUCUAGCAAAAUUGUAAGGUAGAACGACAUAAAAGACCCUGGCUUCCCCAUUUAAUUUAGAGAAAAAGAGAAAUUCUUGUUCAUGGAACAUCGAUAGAGAAAAAAGCCGACUAUCGGAUUUGAACCGAUGACCCUCGCAUUACAAAUGCGAUGCUCUAACCUCUGAGCUAAGUGGGCUUACAUAACAGAAAUAGUGUAACAAAUAGAAAUAUAUAUAGGGAAUCUGUAAAAUGUCAAUCUUAAUUAUUAAUCUAGUUAUUAACUAGUUCGAAAUUGGAAGUCCUACUUAGAAUUAGUAAAAGAAUUAGUAAAAAAAAUACUAGAAUUUCAUAAAGAUAAAAUUAGCUUGAUAUGCUUAACUAAAUGAUAUUCUUAAAUAGGAUUCUAGAAUUUAUUGAACUUCUUUUUAUUUCUCUAAUUCGCAAAUGGAUUUUUCUAUUCUAAUAGAAUCUAUUCCAAAUUCUAUAUUGAAUUUGAUUUCAGAUAUUUUCAAUUUGAUAUGGCUCGGACGAAUAAUCUAAUACAUAUAAAAGAAGAAUAUAUAUGAAUAUUAAAUAAAGAGAAAAUGCCAAGAGAUUAGCAUUUUCAUUCGAUCAUUAUAUACAUUUUUGAUUUGAGAUAUUUGUUUUUUUUAUUUGUUAAUAAUUUAAGGAUAAAUAGUUCACUAAGGAGAAGAUAGAAUCAUAACAAAUGAAAUUUCUAAUUCAGAUUAGAAAACAAAGAAUGAAUAUCAAGCGUUAUAGUAUGAUUUUGAAUACUCUAAAAAAGGAAGGAGGAAGGCGGGAGAGAGAAAAACUUUUGGAUAUAUUCAUUCCGAUUGAAUUGCAAAUAUAUCAACGAUAGAAUCAAUUCAAUUCUGAAUUGCAAUAAGCGAGCGGGCUCUCUCAAAUAGAGAUGAGCUGCUAGACUACGUCGAAUAAUCAAUUCAAUGAUUCAAAAAAAACUAAGAGAUGGAUGAAAUUAUACAAGGAAUCCUGGUUUCAAAGAAAAGGAAAAUGGGGAUAUGGCGAAAUCGGUAGACGCUACGGACUUGAUUGUAUUGAGCCUUGGUAUGGAAACCUGCUAAGUGGUAACUUCCAAAUUCAGAGAAACCCUGGAAUAAAAAAUGGGCAAUCCUGAGCCAAAUCCCUUUUUUGAAAAAACAAGUGGUUCUCAAACUAGAACCCAAAGGAAAAGGAUAGGUGCAGAGACUCAAUGGAAGCUGUUCUAACGAAUCGAAGUAAUUACGUUGUGUUGGUAGUGGAACUCCUUCGAAAUUAUAGAAAGAAGGGCUUUAUACAUCUAAUACACACGUAUAGAUACUGACAUAGCAAACGAUUAAUCAUAGAACCCAUAUCAUAAUAUAGGUUCUUAUUUUUUUUUUUAAUGAAAUUAGGAAUGAUUAUGAAAUAUCAAAUUCUGAAUUUUUUUUAGAAUUAUUGUGAAUCCAUUCCAAUCGAAUAUUGAGUAAUCAAAUCUUCAUUCAUUGUUUUGAGAUCUUCAAAAAAGUGGAUUAAUCGAACGAGGAUAAAGAGAGAGUCCCAUUCUACAUGUCAAUACUGACAACAAUGAAAUUUCUAGUAAAAGGAAAAUCCGUCGACUUUAUAAGUCGUGAGGGUUCAAGUCCCUCUAUCCCCAAACCCUCUUUUAUUCCCUAACCAUAGUAGUUAUCCUUUUUUUUUCUUUUAUCAAUGGGUUUAAGAUUCAUUAGCUUUCUCAUUCUACUCUUCACAAAGGAGUGCGACGAGAACUCAAUGAAUCUUAUGCUAUUCAUUAAAUAGAUGAUUUCUUUUUAUUUGAUAGGAUUACCCCGCCCAUUUCCAAAUUUAGAAUGGAAUACUUUAUUGAUUUUUUAGUCCCUUUAAUUGACAUAGAUGCAAAUACUCUACUAGGAUGAUGCACAAGAAAGGGUCAGGAUAGCUCAGUUGGUAGAGCAGAGGAUGAAAUCUCGUGUCACCAGUUCAAAUCUGGUUCCUGGCACAGAAAAAAAAGGAUCUACCGAAUAGAUAUUGAUACAAAUAUCUUGAGAUGGAUUGGGGUACAUAUUCAUUAAUAAUAUAGAUACUAUAGAGUAAGUAGAUAAAUCUCUAAACACUUCUUUUAAAAAAGGGUGAAAAUCUCUGGUUAUUUCUUUCUGGUUCUUUUCUUUAUGGUAUAGAUAUAGAAAGAGGGGAGAUUAGGUGCCCUUUUCUUUAUUUUUGCAUUUCUUAUUAAUUUUUUAUGCCGCUAUUCCAAAGAAUUUUUUUAUUCUUGCUUAUCCUACUUCCCUAGUUGUUCUAAGUAAUCUGCGCGGUACAAAGUUCGUGGUAGGAACUUCUUUGAGUCAUUGUAUUUUUAUGUUCAUACGAAGGAAACAAUAUGUGAUUUCCAAAUUGGAAAAUCGAAAUGAAGCCCUUUUUGUUCAGUCUAUCUGGAUCUUUUUGUAUAAUAUAAUAGGAAUUAAUUAGAAUAUAAUAAGUAUUUCGUUUCGUCUAGGAACAGAACGUAAAAAUAUUCCUUGACUUGAAUAAAAUCUGGAGUUGUGUUGUAUAAGUGAACAUGAAUUUAUUAUCAUUCAAUGAGCAUCUUGUAUUUCAUAGAAUUGGGGGUUAUAUAGUCCUUACGUAAGGGCCAGCCUAUCCAACUUUCAGGCAUUAAGAUACGUUUAAGACGUGGAUGAUUAUCAUAAGAAAUUCCCACCAUAUCAUAAGAUUCGCGUUCUUGAAAAUCGGCACUUCUCCAAACCCAGAAGACAGACGGAUUCUAGGAUUAUCUUUUUGGGCAAAGACUUUAUGCAUACUUCUUCUGGUUAUCUAUACCAUAUUGUAUUCUCGUAAGAUGAUACACGCUAGCUAAAGAUCCACCGGGUGCUACGUCAUAAGCACAUUGGGAACGUAAAUAAUUGUAACCAUAUACAUAUAAAAUGACAGCAAUGGAAUCCCAAUCCCCCGCUUUUAUUUGUAAAGUCUCUAUUCCUCGGUGAUCGAAGCCCAAAGAUCUAUGAACCACCUCAUGUUUGACUAGCCAAUUAGAUAACCAACCCUGCUGCAUUGUCUUGAUCUCUCCCCUUUGUAUAAAUAUUUCACAUUUCAAAUGCAAGUUUGAAAGAUUGCACUGCUCUUUCUUUUUCUGCACAAAAGAACCCCUCCUAAUUCACUAAUUUGUAGGAAGAUAUUGGACUUUUGGAUUUGAAAAGAGUUUCAGAAGAUAUAUCUAAAGUAGAUGGUGAUUGAUAGAGCAAUUCUUGUUCGUAAGUUCCAGUGUGAGUACUGCGCCGAACAUAAAGCUUGUGACGGGUAGUAAAAGAUCUAUUUUUCUUUUGACUUUGACAUAGAGUUCGAUCCUCAACUAUUUCUCGCGAUAUCUUCUUACGAAGUUUGUUAGGGCAUCUAUAACAGCCUCUGGUUUAGGCGGGCAACCCGGUAGGUAGACAUCCACAGGAAUUAACUUAUCAACUCCUCGAACAGUACUAUAGGAAUCCGUACUGAACAUUCCGCCUGUAAUAGUACAGGCUCCCAUAGCAAUGACGUAUUUCGGUUCAGGCAUUUGCUCAUAUAAUCGCACUAAAGAUGGAGCCAUUUCAUGUUACCGUACCAGCUGUUAAAAUUAGGUCCGCUUGCCUAGGACUUGAUCUUGGUACCAAUCCAUAACGAUCAAAGUCGAAUCGUGAGCCUAUUAAUGAAGCAAAUUCAAUGAAACAACAACUGGUACCAUAUAGAAGGGGCCAUAAACUGGAGAGUCUUGACCAAUUCGAAAGAUCGUUUGGUGUAGUUGAAAUAACGGAAUUGGAACUUGUUUGGUCGAGUAACGGAAACUCAAUCAAACUCAUAAUUGUCUCAAUGGAAUCUUUUCCUUCUUUUUUUUUUUUUGUUUGAAUAUUCAGUUAAGACCAUUCCAAGGCUCCUUUUCGCCAUGCAUAAACUAAACCAACAACUAGGAUAAGCACAAAAAUGAAAGCUUCGAUAAAAACGGAUACACCUAAUACGUCGAAACUCAUUGCCCAAGGGUAGAGAAAGACCGUUUCCACAUCAAAAACAACAAAAACUAGCGCAAACAUGUAAUAGCGUAUUCGGAAUUGUAACCAAGCCCCCCCAUGGGUUCUAUACCCGAUUCAUAACUAGAAAGCUUCUCUGGUCCUUCACUAACAGGGGCUAAAAGU